This 253-nucleotide ribosomal RNA is filed under the name uncultured bacterium. RNAcentral's name for it is "partial 16S ribosomal RNA". It matches the Rfam family "Bacterial small subunit ribosomal RNA", at positions 524 to 776 of the family's 1533-position model. The record is from RNAcentral.
UACGUAGGGUCCGAGCGUUGUCCGGAAUUACUGGGCGUAAAGAGCUCGUAGGCGGUUUGUCGCGUCUGCUGUGAAAACUGGAGGCUCAACCUCCAGCCUGCAGUGGGUACGGGCAGACUAGAGUGCGGUAGGGGAGAUUGGAAUUCCUGGUGUAGCGGUGGAAUGCGCAGAUAUCAGGAGGAACACCGAUGGCGAAGGCAGAUCUCUGGGCCGUAACUGACGCUGAGGAGCGAAAGCAUGGGGAGCGAACAGG